Oryza sativa (Asian cultivated rice) is the source of this 107-nucleotide small nucleolar RNA. It matches the Rfam family "Plant small nucleolar RNA R71". From Rfam's summary of the family: R71 is a member of the C/D box family of snoRNAs containing the C (UGAUGA) and D (CUGA) box motifs. Multiple nearly identical copies of this snoRNA have been identified in Arabidopsis, and it is thought to function as a 2'-O-ribose methylation guide for 18S ribosomal RNA. The record is from Rfam. NCBI's taxonomy places the organism in Eukaryota, Viridiplantae, Streptophyta, Magnoliopsida, Poales, Poaceae.
AUCCCAUGAUGAGGACAGGCGGCCACAUACUCUUGCAGACGCUUCCAUGCUCCCGGAAUAGACUCAUCCCUUGUCUGCUGGAAACUUGAAAUCCUUCCAUGAAGGGC